GGAGUUGUGGCUCAGCGGUAGAGCGCUCACCUCAAUUGUUCGAGAACCUGGGUUCCAUCCUCAGCACCA
RNAcentral lists this transfer RNA (69 nucleotides) under Marmota monax (woodchuck). RNAcentral's name for it is "tRNA.Undet". Lineage: Eukaryota; Metazoa; Chordata; Mammalia; Rodentia; Sciuridae. The record is from RNAcentral.